RNAcentral lists this ribosomal RNA (1013 nucleotides) under Sodaliphilus pleomorphus. RNAcentral's name for it is "Bacteroidales bacterium Oil-RF-744-WCA-WT-10 partial 23S ribosomal RNA". It matches the Rfam family "Bacterial large subunit ribosomal RNA", at positions 696 to 1695 of the family's 2925-position model. The record is from RNAcentral. Lineage: Bacteria; Pseudomonadati; Bacteroidota; Bacteroidia; Bacteroidales; Muribaculaceae.
AGAGUCGGCGGGGGCAGACGCGAAACCGAGUGAUCUACCCUUGGCCAGGAUGAAGGACGGGUGAAUCCGUCUGGAGGUCCGCACCGAUAAGCGUUGAAAAGCUUACGGAUGAGCUGAGGGUAGGAGUGAAAGGCCAAUCAAACUCGGAGAUAGCUCGUACUCCCCGAAAUGUAUUUAGGUGCAGCCUCACGGCAGUGAGACGUAGGUAGAGCGACCGAUAGGAUGCGAGGGCUUCACCGCCUGUCAAGUCCUGCCGAACUCCGAAUGACGUUUCACGGUCCGUGGGAGUAAGGGCGCGGGUGCUAAGGUCCGUGUCCGAGAGAGGAACAACUCAGACCACCGUCUAAGGCCCCGAAAUCCGGGCUAAGUUGAAGACAAUAACGAAGUGCGGCCGCAGAGACAGCCAGGAUGUUGGCUUGGAAGCAGCCAUUCAUUUAAAGAGUGCGUAACAGCUCACCGGUCGAGCGGCCGCGCAUGGAUAAUAAUCGGGCAUAAGUCCGGUGCCGAAGACGUGGAAUUCCGCCAUGAGCGGGAUUGGUAGGGGAGCAUUGCAGCGCCGUCGAAGGCGGGGUUCGAGCCCUGCUGGAGGCUCUGGAAAAGCAAAUGUAGGUAUAAGUAACGAUAAAGGGGGCGGGAAACCCCCUCGCCGUAAGACCAAGGUUUCCUGAUCAACGCUAAUCGGAUCAGGGUCAGUCGGGACCUAAGACGCGACCCGCGAGGGGAAGUCGAUGGAAGAGACGGUUAAUAUUCCGUCACCGGUCCUGGAUGCGACGGAGAGACGCGGAAGUGACACUCCUGCGGCCAUACGGAAUUGGCCGUUGAAGGGCGAAGGCGCCGAGGCGGGCAGGCAAAUCCACCCGCCGAGCCGAAGUCCGACAGUACGGCAAGCCUUCGGGCGAGCCGAUAACGGAGGUAAGCAGGCCGCCGAGAAAAUCUUCUAAGCUACAGUCCAGGGACGCCCGUACCGUAAACCGACACAGGUGGUCGGGUAGAAUAUACCAAGGCGCUCGAGA